Pteropus alecto (black flying fox) is the source of this 118-nucleotide non-coding RNA. The record is from Rfam. Lineage: Eukaryota; Metazoa; Chordata; Mammalia; Chiroptera; Pteropodidae.
GUCUACAGCCAUGCCACCCUGAACAAGCACGACCCGUCUGAUCUCAGAAGCUAAGCAGGGGCAGGCCUGGUUAGUACUUGGAUGGGAGACCACCUAGAAAGACCAGAUGCUGUAGGCA